UGGGGAAUAUUGGACAAUGGGGGCAACCCUGAUCCAGCAAUUCUGCGUGCACGAUGAAGGUUUUCGGAUUGUAAAGUGCUUUCAGCAGGGAAGAAAAAAAUGACGGUACCUGCAGAAGAAGCGACGGCUAAAUACGUGCCAGCAGCCGCGGUAAUACGUAUGUCGCAAGCGUUAUCCGGAAUUAUUGGGCAUAAAGGGCAUCUAGGCGGCCAGAUAAGUCUGGGGUGAAAACUUGCGGCUCAACCGCAAGCCUGCCCUGGAAACUAUGUGGCUAGAGUACUGGAGAGGUGGACGGAACUGCACGAGUAGAGGUGAAAUUCGUAGAUAUGUGCAGGAAUGCCGAUGAUGAAGAUAGUUCACUGGACGGUAACUGACGCUGAAGUGCGAAAGCUAGGGGAGCAAACAGGAUUAGAUACCCUGGUAGUCCUAGCUGUAAACGAUGAUUACUGGGUGUGGGCAUGAAGAGUGUCCGUGCCGAAGCUAAUGCGAUAAGUAAUCCGCCUGGGGAGUACGGCCGCAAGGCUG
This 525-nucleotide ribosomal RNA is filed under the name uncultured bacterium. Its description in RNAcentral is "bacterial SSU rRNA". It matches the Rfam family "Bacterial small subunit ribosomal RNA", at positions 355 to 896 of the family's 1533-position model. The record is from RNAcentral.